CGCGGGGUGGAGCAGCUCGGUAGCUCGCUGGCUCAUAACCCAGAGGUCGCAGGUUCGAAUCCUGUCCCCGCUACUA
RNAcentral lists this transfer RNA (76 nucleotides) under Mycobacterium avium subsp. avium 11-4751. RNAcentral describes it as "tRNA-OTHER". It matches the Rfam family "tRNA". From Rfam's summary of the family: Transfer RNA (tRNA) molecules are approximately 80 nucleotides in length. The record is from RNAcentral. Lineage: Bacteria; Bacillati; Actinomycetota; Actinomycetes; Mycobacteriales; Mycobacteriaceae.